This 72-nucleotide transfer RNA is filed under the name Ovis aries (sheep). It matches the Rfam family "tRNA". From Rfam's summary of the family: Transfer RNA (tRNA) molecules are approximately 80 nucleotides in length. Their secondary structure includes four short double-helical elements and three loops (D, anti-codon, and T loops). Further hydrogen bonds mediate the characteristic L-shaped molecular structure. tRNAs have two regions of fundamental functional importance: the anti-codon, which is responsible for specific mRNA codon recognition, and the 3' end, to which the tRNAs corresponding amino acid is attached (by aminoacyl-tRNA synthetases). tRNAs cope with the degeneracy of the genetic code in two manners: having more than one tRNA (with a specific anti-codon) for a particular amino acid; and 'wobble' base-pairing, i.e. permitting non-standard base-pairing at the 3rd anti-codon position. The record is from Rfam by way of RNAcentral. Lineage: Eukaryota; Metazoa; Chordata; Mammalia; Artiodactyla; Bovidae.
UCCCUGGUGGCUCAGAUGGUACAGAGUCUGCCUGCAAAGCAGAAGGCCCAGGUUCAGUCCCUGGGUUGGGAA